Molecule: ribosomal RNA, 107 nt
Filed under: bacterium
Lineage: Bacteria
Also listed under: 1 other name
Source: RNAcentral
GAUGGGGACUAUACUGGAGUUGUCCCACCUAUUUCCAUUCCGAACAUAGUAGUGAAAUACUCCAAGGCCGAUGAUAGUCUUCGGGCGAAAGUAGGUAGUCCCCAUCU